Molecule: ribosomal RNA, 499 nt
Filed under: uncultured bacterium
Lineage: Bacteria
Description: partial 16S ribosomal RNA
Rfam family: Bacterial small subunit ribosomal RNA
Source: RNAcentral
GACGAACGCUGGCGGCGUGCUUAACACAUGCAAGUCGAACGGGCCUGUCUUCUUUUUUGGGGGUGGGUUGAGUGGCGAACGGGUGAGUAUCACGUGAGUAACCUGCCCUUCGGUCCUGGAUAACCGCUUGAAAGGGCGGCUAAUACGGGGUGGUCCGGUUGGUCCGCAUGGGCUGGUCGGGAUAGAUUCACUGUUUUUGGUGUUUCGGCGGGGGAUGGGCUCGCGGCCUAUCAGCUUGUUGGUGGGGUGAUGGCCUACCAAGGCGGUGACGGGUAGCCGGGCUGAGGGGGUGGGCGGCCACACUGGGACCGCGAUCCGGCCCCCACCCCUGCGGGGCGCAGCAGUGGGGGGUAUUGCACACUGGGCGGAAGCCUGAUGCAGCGACGUCGCGUGAGGGAUGGAGGCCUUCGGGUUGUGAACCUCUGUUUCCGGUGGUGAAGGCCCUGUCCGUGUGGUGGGGUUGACGGUAGCCGGGGAUGAAGCGCCGGCUAACUACGUG